RNAcentral lists this long non-coding RNA (278 nucleotides) under Mus spicilegus (steppe mouse). RNAcentral's name for it is "lncRNA (ENSMSIG00000010104.1)". Lineage: Eukaryota; Metazoa; Chordata; Mammalia; Rodentia; Muridae. The record is from RNAcentral.
GGACAAUCAAGUAAAAUAACACUCACUUUCUCCUGAAACGACAAACUCCUUUCAGUCUACUGGGGCUGCAGCAGAUGACAGCCACGCUGCAAUGGUGAGCGAGGGCAGAGCAGAAGACAUCUGGAGAGUGUGGAUUUUUGCAGAUGUGCAGAAUACAAGAGUGAUGAAGCAUUGCACUGAGGUCUUAGAGUAAAGCUGAGAAGAUUGGACAAAAGCUAGCAGAGUAAGAUUCCUCAUGUGGAGAUACUAAGAGAACUGUGCACAGAGUUGUGAAGGCU